RNAcentral lists this long non-coding RNA (695 nucleotides) under Fukomys damarensis (Damara mole-rat). Its description in RNAcentral is "lncRNA (ENSFDAG00000031863.1)". Lineage: Eukaryota; Metazoa; Chordata; Mammalia; Rodentia; Bathyergidae. The record is from RNAcentral.
CACUGGCUAUGGUCACCUGUUCUUCCUUCUGUCUCCCCUUCCGGGAAGGAGAGCGGUGACGUGGCUCAGGAGGCAUAGGCCUUGGUACCUGGCGGGGUUCCCAGGGUUUUCUCUGGGACUUGGCUCCUGCUGUGUACAAUUUCACUGGAUUGCAGCAAAGGAUCAAAGGAGAAAAUUUAAUUUUGCCAGCAAUAAAAUAACUAGGAUCCCUUUCCUGCCUUUCCCUCUGCUUAGCUGAAUUGACGGAAUCCGACUCUUAAGAUGGACCGUGCACUCUGGCACCUUGGGUUUCAGACCUGCACAAGCAGCUGCCCUGUGAGGUGCUCCUGUCCCAGCCCCGUGGCACAGGUUGAAGAGAGAACCCAGAGCCUCCAGAGUGGAUCCCGCAGGCUUUGUGGGCAAUGCCGUGGGAGACCCAUGCCGCAUCCCACAGGGCUUGUGCCCUGAGCAGCCCUACAGCCAUCGUGUUCUAUUUUUUCCCGUCCAGAAGCCACUGGAAGAAUUCCCCUCCAGCUGAGCAUUUCUGUCUUAGCUGGUUGUCUUGGGACUGCUCAUUCUAACCAAAGAGCCAACCAAGGAAAUAUCUGCAUGAACACAAGUCUUCUAAGAGAAAUUCUGGGGUAGCUAGAUGGAUAAAAAUACUCCUGCCUUGAAAUAAAACAGAGUACAGCAGCUUUUUAGACUUAAAUAAAACA